UUUUGACGCUUUUGACACAACAAAUUCUUUAAAAUUUGAGAGAGAGAAAAAAAUUGCUGCGAACUAAUUUAAUUAAUUAAAGCAUCUUUUGCUGUGCAAUAAACCGUAAAAAUAGUUGCUAACAAGUGAAAACUAUCGUACAACACCAUCGGAAAGCAGUCGAGAAUGGGAAGUGAUAAGCGCUACGAUACUGAUGACGAGGAUGUUGCCAUGAAAACCACCAAAGAUUCGGAUCUGAAAAAGAAGAAACACAAAAAGCAUAAAAAACACAAAAAGUCGGGGAAAGUGGACAAAGUGGAAAAAGAUUUGCAUGCAAAGAAAAAGCAUAAAAAACAGCACAAACGUAAACACAGAGAAAGUGAUGAUUCUAGUUCAGAUGUUGGUGAAAAAUUGCCAAUCAAAAUCGUACCGACAUCGUUAAGUAGUAAAUUCACGGAAAUAAUGAAAACGAAUGGCCAUUCGACUACAACCGGUCUAGCAGCUAAACUGAUCAAAAGCAUGAAGAAACCUGCCGUACCAACAGAUCCAACCGCACUAGUCGAAAUGAUCACUCAAUCUCUGGACCCGAAUGCUCUUCCAUCGCUAGAAAUUGUUUCAUCGGAAUCGGAGAGUGAUGGUCCUGCUGAAGAAGUUGACGUGGACAGUCCAGAUGUUGCUGUUAUUGAGGACGAACUGAAUCUGGAGGAGUUGAUGAAACAAAAGGCCCUUCUGCAAGCACGGCUAGGAAAUAUCGCAUCUGAAUCGGAAGAGGAAUCCGCCGUUGAACCCAAACGGGUCGAAGUGAAACAGGUAGCACCGAAAAAAAUAUCGGACGUCAUUCUGUUGGACGAUUCCAGUGGUGAAGUGCUGAUGCGUACAUCAUCCACAAAGAAGCGACAGCGAAGCUCGUCAGUGAGCCGUGAUCGGAAGAGAAGAGAAGAACGUCGCGAAUCUUCUCGUGAACGGUACAACAGAGAACAGGACAAAAUGAAACAACGACGCAACGAUGACAAUCGGAACAAGGAAGAUUUACGACGUGAAAUCGAUAGAGACAAGGAACGGUCUUUCAGAGAUCGACGACGAGACGGUGGCAAUGGUGGUCGGAUGGAUGGUCGAUUCAACAGGGACAGAAACCGAUAUUCAAUCGACGGAGAUCGUCGGAAUCAAAGAAGUCGUAGCCGUGAUCGGUACGAUAGGGACAACAUGGAUCGGCAAAGAGACCGGGACCGCGGAAAUAGAAAACGUGAGGAGAAGAACGAUAAAUUCGUCGGUUCGUUGAGUGAAGGACAGAAAGCGGAUAAGGAAUCGAGUAGUGACAGUGAAAUCGGUGACAUUAAGGUGAAUGACAAUGAGGACGAAGAUGACGAAGAGAAAAUUAUCGAAAUGAGACGAAAGAAGCGAGAAGAGCUUAUGAAGAAGCUAGCGAAUACCCAAGUCGUUGCUCCAACAGCAUCGAACCGAGCGGAAAGUGAUGAGGAUUGUAUAUUCGUACAAACUGAACCAAUUGCCGCAAAGAAACCGUUGCCACCACCAGCACCAGUAACCAAGGCUCCAAAACAACUUAGUCCAGCUAAACCGGUUGUAAUUGAACAGUUCGAUGAUAUUGAAUCAACAACGCCACCACUACCAGCUGGAAUGUUGCCAUUAAAGCUUGCCGCUAAACCAGAACUUGCUGCUAAAACUGAAACCGAUGUAAUCGUAGAGGCAGGUAAUGAUGUCGACUUGAUUAACCACGACAAAGUCAACAAAAUCAAGGAGGCUAACAAGCGGUCAGAGUGGGAUAUGUUUGCGGAACAAGACAACUAUUCCAAUUUCGAUAGUCCAAGUGCGUCGAUCACCAGCAAACACAUUCACGACAACCCAUCGCUGACAGAUAACUGGGACGACGCUGAGGGCUACUAUAGAGUUCGCAUUGGCGAAGUGCUAGACAAUCGAUACAUCGUUUCAGGUUUCACAGGUCAAGGGGUAUUCAGUAAUGUGGUAAGUGCACGAGAUCAGGCACGCGGAAAUGCUAACACAGCCGUUAAAAUCAUACGAAACCAUGAGAUCAUGCACAAAACUGGUCUCCGCGAACUGGAAAUAUUGAAGAAGCUCAACGAUGCGGAUCCAGACGAUCGCUUUCACUGUUUGCGGUUGUAUCGACACUUUUUCCACAAACAGCACUUGUGCAUGGUGUUUGAGCCGCUGUCGAUGAACUUGCGUGAAGUUUUGAAGAAGUAUGGCAAAAAUGUUGGAUUACACAUCAAAGCAGUGCGAAGCUACACACAACAAUUGUUUUUGGCUUUGAAGCUUCUUAAGAAAACGGGCAUCCUUCAUGCCGACAUCAAGCCCGAUAACAUUCUCGUCAACGAAAGCAACCUGAUUCUGAAACUUUGUGAUUUCGGUUCCGCAUCGCACAUCAGCGACAACGAAAUAACGCCAUAUUUGGUGUCGCGAUUCUAUCGAGCACCAGAUAUCAUUUUGGGUAUGACAUAUGAUUAUGGUAUUGAUAUGUGGUCAGCCGGUUGUACCAUCUAUGAAUUGUAUACGGGAAAAAUUUUAUUUAGCGGCAAGUCGAAUAAUCAGAUGCUCAAAUUUUUCAUGGACUUGAAGGGGAAAAUACCGAACCGAAUCAUUCGGAAGGGACAGUUCAAGGAUCAGCACUUUGAUGCAAGCUGCAAUUUUCUUUAUCACGAAAUCGAUAAGCUGACUGAAAGGGAAAAAAUCGUCGUAAUGCCAGUGAUCAAACCGAUUCGUCAUUUACAACAGGAAUUAAUCGCCGAUCAAAAUUUACCUGAAGACCAACACCGCAAAGUGACCCAGUUACGUGAUCUAUUGGACAGUAUAUUCGCACUGGACCCAUCGAAACGGCUGUCGUUGAACCAAGCGUUGGCCCAUCCGUUCAUACAGGAAAAGAUGUAAAACGAGAACGGGUGGCGAGAAAAGAGAAAAGAAGAAGAAAAAACAUUAAAGUUUUGUGUGCUAAAAAAAAACAAAUUUUCGUAAUUCUCGUUUCCAAGCAUUAUAUGCUAUUAAGUAUGCAACCUCUUCGAUUGAAAUCAGCCGCCAGCAGUUUGAGCGAGAAUGCAUCCAGAGAAGUAAAUCCCGUAAUAUUCCGCAAAGCGAAUUAUUCAUGUGACGGGAGAGCCGAGUCUGUGAUAUCUGAUAAGCGUUUCAAUUUAGCGCAAAAAGAGAUAAAUGUUCUCGGAUAAAAGGAGACCGACUUUAUUGUUCCGAAACACCAUUAAAUCUCAUUUUGUCUCAUUGAGAAGAAAAAACCGACAAAUAAAAUCAGUUUGUUUUUCCGCUCGGUUUAGCUAAUGAGAUAAAUAUUGACAGAUUGGGUGGCAUUUACGAACAAUUACAUCGCUGUUUGUCGUGUCACUCACAUCUAAAAUCAAAUUUAAU
This is an unclassified non-coding RNA of Bradysia coprophila, 3366 nucleotides long. The record is from RefSeq and is a predicted model, not a curated record. Lineage: Eukaryota; Metazoa; Arthropoda; Insecta; Diptera; Sciaridae.